GACGAACGCUGGCGGCGUGCUUAACACAUGCAAGUCGAACGGAAAGGCCCUGCUUUUGUGGGGUGCUCGAGUGGCGAACGGGUGAGUAACACGUGAGUAACCUGCCCUUGACUUUGGGAUAACUUAAGGAAACUGGGGCUAAUACCGGAUAGGAGCUCCUGCUGCAUGGUGGGGGUUGGAAAGUUUCGGCGGUUGGGGAUGGACUCGCGGCUUAUCAGCUUGUUGGUGGGGUAGUGGCUUACCAAGGCUUUGACGGGUAGCCGGCCUGAGAGGGUGACCGGCCACAUUGGGACUGAGAUACGGCCCAGACUCCUACGGGAGGCAGCAGUGGGGAAUAUUGCACAAUGGGCGGAAGCCUGAUGCAGCAACGCCGCGUGCGGGAUGACGGCCUUCGGGUUGUAAACCGCUUUCGCCUGUGACGAAGCGUGAGUGACGGUAAUGGGUAAAGAAGCACCGGCUAACUACGUG
RNAcentral lists this ribosomal RNA (468 nucleotides) under uncultured bacterium. RNAcentral describes it as "partial 16S ribosomal RNA". It matches the Rfam family "Bacterial small subunit ribosomal RNA", at positions 28 to 507 of the family's 1533-position model. The record is from RNAcentral.